GGGUGAUUAGCUCAGUUGGUAGAGCGCUUCGCUUACACCGAAGAUGUCGGGAGUUCGAGUCUCUCAUCACCCA
Molecule: transfer RNA, 73 nt
Filed under: Dinoroseobacter shibae DFL 12 = DSM 16493
Lineage: Bacteria; Pseudomonadati; Pseudomonadota; Alphaproteobacteria; Rhodobacterales; Roseobacteraceae
Description: Dinoroseobacter shibae DFL 12 tRNA
Rfam family: tRNA
About the family: Transfer RNA (tRNA) molecules are approximately 80 nucleotides in length. Their secondary structure includes four short double-helical elements and three loops (D, anti-codon, and T loops).
Source: Rfam by way of RNAcentral